This 760-nucleotide ribosomal RNA is filed under the name uncultured bacterium. RNAcentral's name for it is "bacterial SSU rRNA". It matches the Rfam family "Bacterial small subunit ribosomal RNA", at positions 634 to 1397 of the family's 1533-position model. The record is from RNAcentral.
UGUUAUUCUUGAGUAUGGUCAAGGUAGGCGGAAUGUGUAAUGUAGCGGUGAAAUGCUUAGAUAUUACACAGAACACCGAUUGCGAAGGCAGCUUACUGGACCAAAACUGACGCUGAUGCACGAAAGCGUGGGGAUCGAACAGGAUUAGAUACCCUGGUAGUCCACGCCGUAAACGAUGAUCACUCGCUGUUAGCGAUACACAGUUAGCGGCUAAGCAAAAGCAUUAAGUGAUCCACCUGGGGAGUACGGCCGCAAGGCUGAAACUCAAAGGAAUUGACGGGGGCCCGCACAAGCGGAGGAACAUGUGGUUUAAUUCGAUGAUACGCGAGGAACCUUACCUGGGCUUAAAUGUAGAGUGCAUGAGUUGGAAACAAUUCUUUUCUUCGGAACUCUCUGCAAGGUGCUGCAUGGUUGUCGUCAGCUCGUGCCGUGAGGUGUCGGGUUAAGUCCCAUAACGAGCGCAACCCUUAUCGUUAGUUGCCAGCGGGUAAUGCCGGGAACUCUAACGAAACUGCCGGUGUAAACCGAGAGGAAGGUGGGGAUGACGUCAAAUCAGCACGGCCCUUAUGUCCAGGGCUACACACGUGUUACAAUGGCCGGUACAGAGGGCAGCUACCUAUUGAUAGGAUGCGAAUCUCCAAAGCCGGUCUCAGUUCGGAUCGGAGUCUGCAACUCGACUCCGUGAAGCUGGAUUCGCUAGUAAUCGCGCAUCAGCCAUGGCGCGGUGAAUACGUUCCCGGGCCUUGUACACACCGCCCGU